Acanthosepion pharaonis is the source of this 112-nucleotide non-coding RNA. Lineage: Eukaryota; Metazoa; Mollusca; Cephalopoda; Sepiida; Sepiidae. The record is from the annotation of a GenBank genome assembly.
UACGGCCAUAUCACGUUGAAACAGUGGUUCUCGUCCAGUCACAGAAGUUAAGCAAUGUUGAACUUCAUCAUUACUGAGAUGGGUAGCCGCUCGGGAAGACCAGGUGCUGUAA